GAACGCUAGCGGCAGGCCUAAUACAUGCAAGUCGGACGGGAUCCAUCGGAGAGCUUGCUCGAAGAUGGUGAGAGUGGCGCACGGGUGCGUAACGCGUGAGCAACCUACCUCUAUCAGGGGGAUAGCCUCUCGAAAGAGAGAUUAACACCGCAUAACAUCAACAGUUCGCAUGUUCGGUUGAUUAAAUAUUUAUAGGAUAGAGAUGGGCUCGCGUGACAUUAGCUAGUUGGUAGGGUAACGGCUUACCAAGGCGACGAUGUCUAGGGGCUCUGAGAGGAGAAUCCCCCACACUGGUACUGAGACACGGACCAGACUCCUACGGGAGGCAGCAGUAAGGAAUAUUGGUCAAUGGGCGGAAGCCUGAACCAGCCAUGCCGCGUGCAGGAUGACUGCCCUAUGGGUUGUAAACUGCUUUUGUCCAGGAAUAAACCUAAAUACGUGUAUUUAGCUGAAUGUACUGGAAGAAUAAGGAUCGGCUAACUCCGUG
This 487-nucleotide ribosomal RNA is filed under the name uncultured Sphingobacterium sp. RNAcentral's name for it is "bacterial SSU rRNA". It matches the Rfam family "Bacterial small subunit ribosomal RNA", at positions 31 to 507 of the family's 1533-position model. The record is from RNAcentral. Lineage: Bacteria; Pseudomonadati; Bacteroidota; Sphingobacteriia; Sphingobacteriales; Sphingobacteriaceae.